AAUAAAAAUAUCUUUGGUUGGGGCAACCACGAAGAAAAAAAAACCUUCGUCUAAAAAAGAAAUUAACAAAUUAAAAAUUUUAAAAAAAAAGAUCCAGAAAAUACUGAUCAAAGAAAAAAGUUACCGCAGGGAUAACAGCGUUAUUCUCUUUAAGAGCUCGUAUUGACAAGAGAGUUUGCGACCUCGAUGUUGGACCGGGGCACCCAAGAGGUGUAGCAGCCUCUAAAGGUGGGUCUGUUCGACCCUUAAAGCCCUACGCGAUCUGAGUUCAGACCGACGCAAGUCAGGUCAGUUUCUAUCUA
RNAcentral lists this ribosomal RNA (302 nucleotides) under Decametra cf. alaudae DECA32. Its description in RNAcentral is "partial 16S ribosomal RNA". It matches the Rfam family "Bacterial large subunit ribosomal RNA", at positions 2257 to 2643 of the family's 2925-position model. The record is from RNAcentral. Lineage: Eukaryota; Metazoa; Echinodermata; Crinoidea; Comatulida; Colobometridae.